RNAcentral lists this long non-coding RNA (354 nucleotides) under Macaca nemestrina (pig-tailed macaque). RNAcentral describes it as "lncRNA (ENSMNEG00000045806.1)". Lineage: Eukaryota; Metazoa; Chordata; Mammalia; Primates; Cercopithecidae. The record is from RNAcentral.
CAAAGAAUAUUUUUGUGUCUACUGAAAUUAACAAUUCUUUCGAAUGGCUGAAAUAGGUAAAAAAUACACUAUAAUGACAUUAUAUUUCUUUAAAGAAGAGGAAAACAACCACACUUUUCCAUAAAUAAAUAUUAUGAUUGGUUGAGUCAUUAUUUCUAACUUUUUGCACUUCUUUAAUUUCUUCUUCUAACAACUGUGAAGUGGUCAAAAGGCAAAAAAGAGGAGGAAAGCAAAGAGGAAGAAGCCACAGGGUGUAGAUAAUCCACAAACAAGCUAAUUGGUCCCUGGGUAAUUGCUGACUCUCUUCAGCAGUCAUGCAAUGGAGAUUUCUAGGAAAAUGUAAAUAUACUGUGU